UAGGUAAAUCUAUGGUCCCAAAAUUCUUGUCUUACAUUUGUUUAGAUACGGAUGUAUCUAACACUAAAAUGUAACUAGAUACAUCCGUAUUUAGACAAAUUUAAGACAAGAAUUUUGGGACGGAGGGAGUAAAAA
Molecule: non-coding RNA, 135 nt
Organism: Triticum aestivum (bread wheat)
Lineage: Eukaryota; Viridiplantae; Streptophyta; Magnoliopsida; Poales; Poaceae
Source: Rfam